UCCCCCACACUGGUGCUGAGACACGGACCAGACUCCUACGGGAGGCAGCAGUGAGGAAUAUUGGUCAAUGGGAGAGAUCCUGAACCAGCCAAGCCGCGUGAGGGAAGACGGCCCUAUGGGUUGUAAACCUCUUUUGUCGGAGAACAAAACCCGGGACGUGUCCCGGACUGCGUGUAUCCGAAGAAAAAGCAUCGGCUAACUCCGUGCCAGCAGCCGCGGUAAUACGGAGGAUGCGAGCGUUAUCCGGAUUUAUUGGGUUUAAAGGGUGCGUAGGCGGUCUGUUAAGUCAGCGGUAAAAUUGCGGGGCUCAACCCCGUCGAGCCGUUGAAACUGGCAGACUUGAGUUGGCGAGAAGUACGCGGAAUGCGCGGUGUAGCGGUGAAAUGCAUAGAUAUCGCGCAGAACUCCGAUUGCGAAGGCAGCGUACCGGCGCCAGACUGACGCUGAGGCACGAAAGCGUGGGGAUCGAACAGGAUUAGAUACCCUGGUAGUCCACGCAGU
This 501-nucleotide ribosomal RNA is filed under the name uncultured bacterium. RNAcentral describes it as "bacterial SSU rRNA". It matches the Rfam family "Bacterial small subunit ribosomal RNA", at positions 304 to 803 of the family's 1533-position model. The record is from RNAcentral.